Molecule: ribosomal RNA, 4292 nt
Filed under: Candidatus Kaiserbacteria bacterium
Lineage: Bacteria; Candidatus Kaiseribacteriota
Description: 23S ribosomal RNA
Rfam family: Bacterial large subunit ribosomal RNA (bases 1-2975)
Source: RNAcentral
UACAGGAAUGUUAAGGGUGUAUGGUGGAUGCCUAGGCUUCAAAGAGCGAUGAAGGACGUGGUAUGGCUGCGUUAAGCUCCGGUAAGAUGCCAAACAAUCGUUAUAACCGGAGAUGUCCGAAUGAGGAAACUCACCUGCUUACGGCAGGUACCCUUGUAUGAGGGAGCGUACCCAGUGAAGUGAAACAUCACAGUAGCUGGAGGAAAAGAAAGCAAAAAACGGGACUUUCUUUCUGGUUGGAAAAUCGAGUGGAUUUAUUCACGCGAUUUACCAUUACGACCAGGAAGAAGGUCCUCGCGAUCCCCUGAGUAGCGGCGAGCGAAACGGGAUGAGCCCAAACCAUUCGUGUUUACAUGAAUGGGGUUGUAGGGCAGAGACGUCAUUUAGUUGAGAAGAGUUACAAAUUGGUGUGAUAACAAAACGCGUUGGGAAGCGCGACCCCAGUAGGUAAUAGUCCUGUAUGUGAAAUUGCAUCAACUCUUUUGUUUCUGUUCCUGAGUAGUUCGGGACACGAAUAGCCCGAAUGAAUCUGCCAGAACUAACUGGUAAGGCUAAAUAUCUUUGAAGACCGAUAGUGAACAAGUACCGUGAGGGAAAGGUGAAAAGAACCCCGGAGAGGGGAGUGAAAUAGAACUGAAACCAUACAUCUACAAGGAGUCGAAGCCCUGCGGGGCGACGGCGUGCCUAUUGAAGAAUGAGCCGGCGAGUGUAUCUGUAUUCUUUGUCUAAGCGGUAACCCCGUGGAGGCCUAGUGAAAGCGAGCGUGAAUAGCGCGAAUAUAGAGUACGGAUACGACCCGAAGCGGGAUGAGCUUGCCAUGUGCAGGGUGAAGCGAAGGUAAAACUUCGUGGAGGCCCGAACCGGUUGGCCGUUCAAAACCAUCGGAUGACAUGUGGUAGGGAGUGAAAAGCUAAUCGAAUUCCGUAAUAGCUGGUUCUCUCCGAAACAGCUUUAGGGUUGGCGUCGCGUGUUCCUCCUGGGGGUAGAGCACUGGAAGGUUUAAAUAGGGAGAAAUCUCGUUAAACCUAUCAAACUACGAAUACCAGGCAGUUAGAGCGCGGCAGUUAGACUACGGGGGAGAAGCUCCGUUGGUCGAAAGGGAAACAGCCCAGACCGCCAGUUAAGGUCCCUAAAUAUAUACUCAGUGCGUCUUGAGGAGGUGAGGAUUCAUCAACAGUCAGGAUGUUGGCUUAGAAGCAGCCAUCAUUUAAAGAAAGCGUAACAGCUCACUGAUCGAGAGUCCUUGCGCCGAAGAUGAUCGGGGCUCAAGUAUAUUACCGAAACUGCGGAUGUCACAUUUCUUCGGAUAUGUGGCGUGGUAGGAGAGCGUUCUGUUCUGCGAUGAAGCCAAGGUGUGAACCACGGUGGAGCGUACAGAAGUGAGAAUGCCGGCACAAGUAACCGCAAGACGGGUGAGAACCCCGUCCGCCGAAAUACCGAGGUUUCCUUCGCUAUGAUGAUCAGCGAAGGGUUAGUCGGUCCUAAGCCGAUCCCGACAGGGGGAGGCGAUGGAUAGCAGGUUAAUAUUCCUGCACACUGUUACGUUGCGAUGGAGGGACGGAGCGUUGUACCCAAAGCAUCUUAUUGGAUUGGUGCUGGAACUACGAGGACGUCUGGUAGGCAAAUCCGCCAGAUAUAAUCCGAGUAGGGUCUGAACGUGAGGCUACGGCCGAGCGAAUGAGGGGAGCACGCUUUCUAGAAAAACUUCUAAGCAUAAACGUAACGGUUCCGUACCGCAAACCGACACAGGUGGUAGGGUCGAGAAGACCAAGGCGAACGAGUGAGGGGUCCUUAAGGAACUCGGCAAAAAAGCGGCCGUAACUUCGGGAUAAGGCCUGCCCUGCGUAGCAAUACGUUGGGGCCGCAGCGAAAGAUUUCCUGGCAACUGUUUAACAAAAACACAGCUCUCUGCGAAGACGUAAGUCCAUGUAUAGAGGGUGACGCCUGACCAAUGCCGGAAGGUUAAAUAUGGGGGGUCUUAUGGAGUAAUCUGUAAGGCUGGACUAUAUAAGCCCCGGUCAAUGUCAGCGAUAACUAUAAUCGUUCUAAGGUUCGGCGCAUUUUCCUCCGGGAAAAUGCGCCGAUAGGACUGGAACGAUUAUAGGUGUAAACAGAACAAGCCACAGCUACCUUACGUGCAGUAAUGUACGUAUAGUCCACAAUGCAACCAACAAGAGACCAAAUGUUGCACACCCGACCUCGUAAGAGAGGGUGAAGAUAGAGUCCUUCUGCAAAAGAAUUGGAAUAGAAGAGCGCAAUUCCUUGUCGGGUAAGUUCCGACGUGCACGAAAGGCGUAAUGACUGGGAAACUGUCUCAAGGACCUGCUCGGUGAAAAUACAAUGGGGGUGAAGAUGCCCCCUACCUGCAGUUAGACGAAAAGACCCCAGGAGCUUUACUGUAGCUUCGUAUUGGGGCUGUUGAAUUAAUGCGUAGUAUAGGUGUGAGACUUUGAAGUGGGCUUUCGGGUACCAUGGAGUCGCCAGUGAAAUAGCACCCUUUAUUUUGGCAGUUUCUAACCAGCACGGAAAAACCGUGUUGAGACAGUGCGUGGCAGGCAGUUUUAGUGGGGCGCUACCCUCCCAAAGAGUAACGGAGGGGUCUCAAGGUUGGCUAGGUGCGAAUGGAAACCGUACCGAUAGUGUAAUGGCAUAAGCCAGCUUGACUGUGAGGCGUCAGUGCCAAACAGAUGCGAAAGCAGAGCAUAGUGAACCGACGGUCCGCUUUAGAUGCGGCCGGAGAUUAUCUGACAAAAGUUACCCUGGGGAUAACAGGCUAGUCGUGCCCAAGCGUCCAUAGCGACGGCACGGUUCGGCACCUCGAUGUCGGCUCAACUUAUCCUGGGGCUGGAGCAGGUCCCAAGGGUAUGGCUGUUCGCCAUUUAAAAAGUUACGUGAGCUGGGUUUAGACCGUUCAGAUUCUAAAUAUUUUGGAAUCUGAACCAAUCUAAACCCGAGGAGAAUACUUGACCAGUAUUCAAAAAGACAUCAUUCACGGCGGUGGUAGAAAGUAAUUUCUACACAUAAAAUUGACUAUAUCGGUGGAGUCCUAAACCAACAUAUGUUAGGAUAAUACCGAGGGAAGUCUUGUAUGACACAAAAAAUUAAUUCAUCGUUCAGUAUCUAUCUUGCCGGUUUUUUGGAUGGAGAUGGAAGUAUAUAUGUACGAGCAAAACCAAAUAGUUCAUAUAAAUAUGGCUAUCAAAUUGCUCCAACUGUUGCUUUCUUUCAGUCUAAGAAAAGUGGUGAGUUUCCAAAACUGUGCAAACGAAUCCCGUACGGGACGUUGAGAGUUAGGAAGGAUGGUAUAUAUGAAUAUACUAUUUCAAAACAAAAAGAAAUUAGAGAUUUUCUUUUCCAAGUGUUGCCCUAUCUUGUGUUAAAACAGGAACAAGCAAAACUUAUGAUUAGAAUUCUUGAUGUUAAAGAUACUAUACAGACUAUAGAUGAUUUCAAUGUUUUGCUUGCACUCAUUGAUUCUUUUCGGGAAUUAAAUUACUCGAAGAAUCGCAAAGUGCGUACAAAGACCCCGUAGAGACUAAACGUCAAUCUCCUUGAAAUGAAGCAAGGAAGAAGAUAUAGUCCGAUCCUCCGAGUAAUCGGAGCAACAAGAUGCGUGAGACAGGUUGGUCUCUAUCUACUGCAGGCGUCGAUUCUUGAAGAGAUUUGUCCCUAGUAAGUAUUUGCUACUUUGUGAAGAGAUUCACAUUGAAAAUAUGGCUUAUAACGGUGAAGCCUUCAUAUGUUUUUGGUUCGAGAAUUAUAUUCAUGCACGGUCCAGUCAUGAUAUAAUUCGCUUGAGGACCAGAAACCUCUUUAAGGUAAUACCGUGGGAAGUCGCCGUAUCACAUUAGUUUUAAUGUGCCAGGUUGACCCCGUAACGACUUGCGCUGAAAGACGCGCGGACGCAUACGUAGAGGAAUCAUUCCAUUGAGAAUGACUGCUCGUAUGUGUAAGAUGCCAUCGCCCUCAUUUAGACAUUCUGUCUAAAACGGGUGAAGAUAUAGUCUGUGCUCCUAGAAAUAGGGGAAGCGUUUAAUUGGAAAUUUAACCAGUUAAAUUCACGACGAGAGGACCGGGAUGAACUGACCUCUGGUCUACCUGCUGUCACGCCAGUGGCACCGCAGGGUAGCUAUGUUGGGAAUGGAUAACUGCUGAAAGCAUCUAAGCAGGAAGCCAACUCUAAGAUGAGGAAUCAUUAAGUCCCCUGAGAGAUGAUCAGGUUGAUAGGCACUAGGUGGAAGUACAGCAAUGUAUUGAGCCAAGGUGUACUAAUCAGACGUAAUUCCUGUAGG